This 3179-nucleotide long non-coding RNA is filed under the name Mytilus galloprovincialis (Mediterranean mussel). Lineage: Eukaryota; Metazoa; Mollusca; Bivalvia; Mytilida; Mytilidae. The record is from RNAcentral.
CUUUCGUUGAACUGCCGCUAUUAAAAUACGGUUGGAAUAUGUUGAUAGUCAGAUUGAGAAGGACUAUUUAAUACAGAAAGCGUAAGCAUAUUUAGUCAUACAGAUUUAUGAUUGUUAGAUUUAAGAAGUGUUUUAUGUUUCACGAUGAGAUGUAAUUAAGAUAAUUAUGACGCCUGGAAGAGCUAUUUCAUUUUUUUUUUGUCACGCGUCGUCGUUGUAUCUGUCACCUCAAAAUUAACUAUUAGUACAGACAAACUGAUAUAUCUAAGAAAGUUUUAAGGCAUGACAGGAACUAGAUAUAUAAACGUUAUAUGUAGUCUACGUUUCAGAAAAUUACUAGUAAAACUUACCUGGAUUUUGAUGUGCAGUCUUUUCCAAUCUACAAAAUAUAGCAAAAUAAACAAACACCCGAGUUUCAUUUGAUACGGUCCACUCAUUUACAUAGUUGAAAUCACCUAUUGUUUGCAGAUGUCUAUUGUCCAUCUAUUGUCCGUUAAAUCAAUACUACUCACAACAUGUACUAUAUGAGGGGAACUUCUCAAACCUCUUUACCAACUUAGUUUAUUUUAGCCCAUUCUACAGGAAAGGAAAAAAAUGAAAAGCAAAUACUAGUAAAGUUUAUAAUUUUCUAAAUCAUAAAAUGUAUUUAAAAUGUAAUUAUCUAGUUCCUGCCAUCCUUUAAAACUUUUGCAGGUACUAUGGGGCGCCGAAUGGGAAUCUUGGGGUUGUGUACUCGAAAUUCAAUUUUGUACGGACAAAAGUGAGUUUUUGUUCAACAAAAAUGAGUUCAGUUUAACAAAAUUUGUAGCAUUCUACAAAUUUAAAUUUUGUCAUACAAAAUUAUCUUUCAGUGGACAAAAGUUAGUUUUGUCAUGACAAAAUUCAUUUUUGUAACACAGACUUUACUUUUGUUACCUAAUUUGAAAAUUGGGCGACAAAGUCAAUUUUGUAUGCAAAUUAGUUUAGUUUGGAUUCUGUGAACUAAUUUGCAUACAAAACUGAGAUUUAUUCUUGUGUAGACAAAAUUGAGUUUUGUUAAACAGAAGUAAAAAUUGAAUACAAAAGUCAAUUUUGUGUCACAAAAGUCAAUUUUGUGUCACAAAAUUCAUUUUUAUCACAAAAGUCAAUUUUGUGUCACUAGAGUCAAUUGUGUAUGCAGUUUAUAUUUGCAUACCUAUAAAUGAAUUUUUUCUUUACAAAAAUGAAUUUUGUCAUCACAAAAUUGAAGUUCUCAUAAAACAAGUCUGUAUCACAUAGUUUUGUAUUAAAAGACACAAAAGAUUUUGUUAUGACAGAAUUUAAAUUUUUACAAAACCACAAGAGGCCCAUUCGGCGCCCCCUACACGGUAGGUGCAUAGUUUUGUCUGUACUCUAAGUAAAAUUUGCGAUGUAAAUACGGGCAUAUUAGCCAAAAGGUUAUGAUAAACCUUAAGGUUCAUCAUAAGGAAUUGAAAAAUAUGGCCGUGUUUACACCUCCAAAAUUACUAUGAGUACAGACAAACUGGUACAUCCAGGAAAGUUUUAAGGCAUGGCAGGAACUAGAUAUAUAAAAGUUAUAUGAAGUCUACGUUUCAGAAAAUUAAAAACUUACCUGGAUUUUGAUGUUUAUUUUUUUCCAGUCUGCAGAAGAUAGCAAAAUAAACAAACACCCGAGUUUCAUUUGAUACGGUCCACUCAGUUACACAGUUUAAACCUGUUAAAUCACCUAUUGUUUACAGGUGUUUAUUGUCCAUUUAAAUCAAUACUACUCACAACAUUGAUUAUAUGAGGGGAGCUUCUCAAUCGUUUUCACUACUUAGUUAUUUUUUGCACCUUCUGCAGGAACGAAAAAAAAUGGAUAGCAAAAUCUAGAAAAGUUUAUAAUUUUCUGAAACACAAAAUGCAUUUAAAAUUUAUAUAUCUAGUUCCUGCCAUCCCUUAAAACUGUUGCAGGUGUAUAGGUUAGUCUGUACUCAGAGUAAAAUUUGGGGUGUAAAUACGGCCAUUUUAGCCAAAAGGUUAUGAUGAACCUUAACAUUGUAAAAAGAUCUUUGAAUAAUACUGCUGUUAGUUAUCAAUACAUUGAAACAUAACUAAAUAGUAUUGAUGUGAAGGUAUGAUGAUUUACGGUUCUACAUUCUGUCAAUAUUUGGGCACUGCAGAAAAUCCUGUUUUUCUCUGAUUGUGUAUGACGUUAACAAAAUAGAUGUACUAUAAAUAUGAUAGAUCUAGAUGCAGUUUUGGAUACAUGACUGUUUCAGUUGUUACUAGCAUUUAGUAACUGCGAUUACUCUCGAAUAGGUACUGUAUGACUCUUAAAGUUUUAGUUAGUUACUGUAGUUUGUGUAUGCUUUGUUCCGAUCUGAUGAGUAGAACCUUUUCAGCUUACUUUUAUAGUUAGUUCUUAUGGUGAACUGUUACGCAACUGGCACAAAGUUAGGGUGAUGGUUUGGCGCUCGACAAUAUGUGUAACCCUGCAACAUUCUGUUUGUACAUGUAGUUGUCACAAGUCCAUAGCAUGUAUUAAGCUUGUGCUGCAUUAUCAUAGUAGAUUUUCGUUUAUUCUAUUAUAUCGUUUGUUUUUGUAUUGUGCUGUUGCACCACUGUACUAUGUUGGGGAGACUUGUAGUGCCCUCAGGUAGUGCCCUUAUACAUGAUUAAUACCACCAGAUUCUGUAUAUAUAUAUAUCUUGAAGCAAUUUCGCGAUUUGGUCAUACAAAGGAAACCAGGUAAGCAUAUUGACUUCCACAUAACGGUGGCGUCUAGACAACUUGUCAAGCUCUAAAAAUAUAAAUCGCAUUAACCAGUAUGCCAGGGACCUUUUUUUCUGAUAAUAUUUGGAAAAAUCAAUGCACGAUGAUUUCCGGUUAUGUAUAUAUCAUAAGUAAAAAUAAUUUUAAAAAACUAAAUUAUAGUAAUCCUUUUUUUAAUAGUUUUGUAUAAAUUAGUGAAUUAAUUACAUUAUUUGCAUUACAUUUUAUUCACAUGCCUAACAAUUAUUUUGUAGGUAGCUAAAAUAUAAUGGACACUGCAUGUGAAAAGCCAGAUGUGCAAAAUGAAAAUGUAAACAGCAAUGAACAUUUAUCUAUGCAGAGCACAGAAAUGACUACAAACUGUCUUACAACUGCGAACACCAGCGAUGAUGAAAAUGACAUUGAAUUGAAAGGCUUGUUUCCUGAAAUUGAAGAGGAAGACCGAG